This is a long non-coding RNA of Papio anubis (olive baboon), 5103 nucleotides long. Lineage: Eukaryota; Metazoa; Chordata; Mammalia; Primates; Cercopithecidae. The record is from Ensembl.
AUCCAGGCUAAGAGGGGAUAAAGAAAUGCUUUCUGGUCAGGGAAACUGGCUAUAUAAGAGGCUGUGUUCGUGAAAUGAAGAAAUGGUAGAAAACUUCCCUCAAAUGAUAAUGGGAAGUGGGUCAAGUCCUACAGUGUGUAUCUGUUUUAUUGCUUGUGAACAUUUUCAUCAGAGGGGAAAAGGAGAUGGAGAAACCAUUUAUUGAAGACUUACCAUGUGCCCUGCAUUGCAGCCUUCCAUCAUGUUAUGACUCAAUAAGAAGGCCCUUGCAAGAUGCAGGCGCUUUGACCUUGAACUUCCCAGCCUCCAGAACUGUGAGAAAUAAAUUACUUUUCUUUAUAAAUUACUCAGUCUAUGGUAUUCUAUUAUAGCAACACAGAAUGGACUAAAGCACAUUCACAUAUACAUUUAUUUACUUAUUUUCCAUGUGAGCCAUAGAUUGUAUUUACAAGAUUGUUGGCUUAGGUUGAGACUUCAAUCUUUUGCCAGUGAACAAAACAAAGCUACCUGGAAUAUGGUUUAUAAGGAUGAGUACAGGAUUUGGAGCCAUGCCAACAUAAACUUGAGCUCACACUCUACCAUUUUCCAGAUCUGUGACCCUUGAUAGAUUUCUUAAUUCAGAUCUUGGUUUCUCCGUAAGUAAAAUGGACAUACUACUACUCAUAUUAUUAUAAAUAUAUUUAGAGUGCUUAACACAGCACCUAGCAUAUAGCAAGUGCUUAAUAAAUACCAGCUCUAAUAAACAAAUAUGCCCAGAAGGUUAGAGGUGCCAAACUGUAAUAAACACUCCAUGUCUAGGGACAUGGUAAGAAAAAGAAAGACUCUAAGGUGGAGAAAUAUCAAUUUUUUGGUGUUAUUUCUAACUAGAAUAGUAUGAGGCAGCCCUGGAGAGAGGGCAGAAUGGGGAACUGUGGCUGAUUAGUCGAGAGUUAGGGGUAAGCAAGUUAAGCUCUUACAUAGGGCCUGCCAUAUAAGGCUUACCCCUUUUUUGAAAAUCUGGAAGGACCAAGAAAAUCUAAGAAUGUUUAAAUGGAUUGGGCUGGAAUGUGUGUGUGUACAUGCAUGCAUGUAUGUGAAGCUAAAAUGAAUUGUCUAAUAUUCUGAUUGCUUUACAUAUUUUAAUACAUCCAACUUUAAUUUAAAGAAGAAGAAGAACAACAAAAAGACCUUCUCAACAUUAACAUCCUCAGAGAGAGGGAGCUGGGAUACAAAUCCAUAAAAGGUAGGGACUUGAGCUCACAGAAGCCCUGUGUUAUGCGGCUUCUUGCCCCAGUCUUUUGCCUUAGUAACUUGGAAGCUUCCAAACUUUGUCAGCUGGGCCCUACUUACCCAGCAAAAUGAAUACCAAGCUGAGAAUUUGGCCUGCACCUCAGUUAUGCAAAUUCAGAGGACACAAAUGACCCAUCCAUGCCAUGCAACUCUACCAGGGCCCUUGGUUGCUUUUGCUCUGAAAGCCAAUGACAUCAUCUGCUAGACAUACUGCAUAACAUGGGAAGACCUCAAAUACAAAGCAGGUUACAGACCUAUUUUCUGCCUGGAAGAUGCACAGGGGCCUCUCCUCCCUUGCUCAUAUUUUUAUCAGCUGGUGGAAGCUGCAUUCAUUUUCUCCAAAGAAGAAUAAAAGCUAUUGAAUCUCAUCUCCUGUGUCUUUUAUAUGGAAAUGACUGAGGUACUCUGCUUUCUUUGAAAAGUUUCUGGUUGCAGUAUCUACGGUCUCUUCUCUUUCAAUUACUGAACAGCCUAUGUCUGACCUGUAUUUUUUCUCAAAACCGAGCUCUGUUUGCCAGCUUCCAUUUAUGCACAAAAUGCGCCAGUACUCCAAUUUCAGUUGGGGAAGAAAAGGUAGAUGGGCACAGCUAUUCUUGAAACAAACAUUUUUAUUUCAUUUUUAGCAUGCACCUUGGUGCUACAGUGUUAGUAACAAGAAGUCUCACUGUGAAAAUAAUGAUCUUAUGUGAAGGAAAAUGUUAUUAGUUGACCACGUUGCAGCUAAAUUCCUUUGGUGAAUUUUUGAGAGAAGGCUCUGAAGUCGAACCCUGGCCCACUAUGUACCAGUACAUGACUUUGGGUGUGUAGGGGCAGAAAGGUAUGAUACCUUUUCUCACCCAUCGUAAGGGUCCACAGCUGACACUCUGAUAACAAAAGACUGGUUAGCAAGAGAAGAACACAACAGAUUUAUUUAUUUAUUUUAUUUUAUUUUAUUUUAUUUUUGAGACGGAGUCUCGCUGUGUCUCCCAGGCUGGAGUGCAGUGGCGUGAUCUCGGCUCACUGCAAGCUCCGCCUCCCGGGUUCACGCCAUUCUCCCGCCUCAGCCUCCCAAGUAGCUGAGACUACAGGCGCCCGCCACCACGCCCGGCUAGUUUUUUGUAUUUUUUAGUAGAGACGGGGUUUCACCAUGUUAGCCAGGAUAGUCUCGAUCUCCUGACCUCGUGAUCCACCCGCCUCGGCCUCCCAAAGUGCUGGGAUUACAGGCUUGAGCCACCGCGCCCGGCACAACAGAUUUAUUUAAUCAGUUUUAUGUAACACAGGAGGCUUCAGAAAUAAAGACCUAAAGACUCAGAGGAAAAGUUAUUUAUUUUUAUGUUUUGGUUUGAUGAAGAAUGGGCAGCCAUGUAGAAAUGUGACUGGACAAAAAGGUAUGAUCUAAUAGAUCAUAGCUGAAGGAGGAAACCCAGCAAGGCCUGCCUGUUCAGAUUCUUCUGGGCCUCUGUAUAACAUUCCUCCCUCCCAGGUAUGGGACAGGACCCCCAUGGAAGAAGGGUCUUCAAAAGAGAAGAGAUAAGGGAGAGAGUGACCUUUCUGGGUUUUAUGGCUUGUUUUGGGGGAGAGGGGUUCCAGUUUCUAUGAUACGCCAUGUGGAAGAGGAAUUCUGGAUUCUGUGACUCACAUCAGGGGAGAAAAAGGAGUGGGUGAUAGGAGGGCAAGAGAAACUGCUUCUGAGGUCCUUCUAAUGUCCUUCGGUUCAAAGUACUCCGCAUGCCAAGGUGCCAUGCUUUGGGAUAUUGUUUGCUGAGUCCCAACAGGUGAGAUUCAACUAUUCCCCAUUUGUGAAAUGGAGUCUUAAUGUAAAAUGGAGUAUUAAUGUAAAAUGGAAGUGUUCUUCAUGCAUAAAAUUCAAGUGAGGAUUUAACGAGAUCCUCCAUGUACAUGAUUUAACAUGAUUUCGGGCAUACGUAGGUACUUGAGAGACUUUUACUAUUGUGAUUAAUCUUUUGAGAAAAAUUACAAAAAAAUUAUGGCUAUAUCUCUUUCUCAAUUAUAUCUACUAUAGGUGCUUUGGGAGGCUUAGUUUGUUUCCCUCUAGAGACAUCUCUUUUGUUGAUAAGGUGUUCUGACUCCAAAUUAUAGCCCCAUUCAUUUUUGAAAAUGUGGUUUCUCUGUGGGCUCUGUACCAUAAUUGCUAAAAAGGACCCUUGGUGACUGUAAUAACAUGAUGAGUUAAAUUUUCUGAUUAUCAGGAAAGAAUUUCUUUUGUGCAUAGCCAUGUAGCUUAAAACUUUUCUGAGAUAUAUCAGUUUCUUUUUAUUUUUUAACAUGUAUGGUUUACCUAAGUGGUUGCAGAGAACACAAGUUUGAGUCACACAGACUUUAAUUUAAAUCCUGUGCCCACAAUUUACCAGUCAUGUGACUUUAGGUGGGCAGCUGCUCUGAUCCUUAGUCUCUUUACAAAAUAGGAAAUAAAAAUCAAUUACCCAGUUUUGAAAUUGAACCUUUAGGAGAUUUUUAGUAUUCUGUAGUACCUAAUUUUGAACAUCAGCCCUCACUGCAAAAUAUUAAGAAAUAAACUUAGAAGGUUUUGGAGAUGAUAUGCAUGCCUGAAAUUUUUGCAUUUCAAAAUAACUGUUGUCUUUGCAAGUAUUUUUCAUAGUAAUUCCCAGAAGCCAGAGGUUUUUAUUAUGAAAUGAGAAUAACAGAGAAAAGAGUGGAAUGGCUGAAUUCAGUGGUGGUAUAUGUGUAAUUUUUUAAGAAAUUGCCAAACUUUUCCAAGUGACUGUUCAAUUUGCAUUACUGCACUGAUAUAAUUUGGCAUAUUUUAAUUGUAUAAAUCCACUCUUUAUUGCCAUCACCAAAAUUCUGUAUCUUAAGCUUUGUUCUGCAUUUUGCAAUUGUUCUAAGAGUCUUUUUCUCAGACACACACACACACACACACACACAGGCAAGCAAUACCUCUUGAGUAUGUCUGCCCUUGAUUGUUUUAGAGUCAGGCUGAGCAGCAGGGAAAUCAACAAUGUAUUGGAUUUAGCCAAUGAGUGUAGCUGACUAUUUUUGCUUAUGUGAUUAGCUUCCAUUUCAAAGUCAGCCUUAGAGCAGAUAACAAAAUCUCUUUCUGGACAAACAAACAAAACUACCAAUAAAUCUGCAUGAAAGUGGAAGAUGACCUGAAGCAGCUUGGUCUUAAGUGACCCUUACAGACUACCAGAGAAGGAGCUAUCUUUUCAAGGAGAAAAAAAACCCAAAACAACAAAAGGAUCAUCCCUUUCUUCAAGGAGAAAAUACAUAUUAAAAAUACACUUCACCAUUUUAGAAAUGCCUGCGUAACUUUGAUUGUCAGCCCCUCAGGAAAAAAACCUUGUUUGUAGGCUCUUCAGGGAGACUGGAAAAAAGAAUGCUGUACUGGCAAGCAAUCCGUCCGAAACAUUAAUCAGAGAAUGCAACCCUUAUGUUUUGAGAAAUGCUUGUUGGUUUAGAUAAUAAUAAUAAAUAUACUAGUUUUACCCAUAGUUCUUCAUAUUACUGCUGCCCCUUAUGAUAAGAAGGCUUUCAGCUGGAGAAAAAAAGUUAAACGGGAAGAUACAAAUCAAACAUCUGCAAAUAUAUAAGAAUCUUUUCGAAGCUUGCUUUCUUUUAAAUCAAUCUGCCGGGUAGAUUUGUUACAACAUAGAGAACCAUAGGGAAAUAACAGAGAAGGAAAAAAAUUUUUUAAAGGAUUAGCAAAACUGAUAUUCUUAUUUUCUCACUUUACCCUUAGCCUGAUCUGUAUCCCUAGUUAUGUUGAAAAGGAUGAUUGUUUUGUAUCACUUUUAAAAGCCACAAUUUUCCCUAAGCCAACAGUAAUAUAUGCUAAUAAAAAUUACUUUGUUAAUAAGGGGAUUUAGAAUUACC